UGAUCAAAUCUAACCCAGCAGCUUGAGGCGCAGCCGACUGUCUCCGACGGGAACCUCUAAAUGAAGGUUAUCCAACAACAAAGGCAACACGGGAAGAGAAUAACGUCAUGGAUUUGUUUUCAUUAUUUAAUGCGAGCCAGAGCCGAGCUCAGAGUAUUGAACCUGAACCUGGACCUGGACCUGGACCUGGACCUGGAUUUGGAUCUGACCAACCUUCUGCAAAAAGG
Cololabis saira (Pacific saury) is the source of this 227-nucleotide long non-coding RNA. RefSeq lists it as uncharacterized. The transcript has 3 exons. The record is from RefSeq and is a predicted model, not a curated record. NCBI's taxonomy places the organism in Eukaryota, Metazoa, Chordata, Actinopteri, Beloniformes, Belonidae.